GAUGAAGAACGUAGCGAAAUGCGAUAAGUAAUGUGAAUUGCAGAAUUCAGUGAAUCAUCGAAUCUUUGAACGCACAUUGCGCCCGCCAGUAUUCUGCGGGCAUGCCUGUUCGAGCGUCAUUUCAACCCUCAAGCACAGCUUGGUGUUGGGACUCGCGUUAAUUCGCGUUCCCCAAAUUGAUUGGCGGUCACGUCGAGCUUCCAUAGCGUAGUAGUAAAACCCUCGUUACUGGUAAUCGUCGCGGCCACGCCGUUAAACCCCAACUUCUGAAUGUUGACCUCGGAUCAGGUAGGAAUACCCGCUGAACUUAAGCAUAUCAAUAAGCGGAGGA
This 331-nucleotide unclassified non-coding RNA is filed under the name soil metagenome. RNAcentral describes it as "partial contains 5.8S ribosomal RNA, internal transcribed spacer 2, and large subunit ribosomal RNA". The stretch from base 1 to 119 matches the Rfam family "5.8S ribosomal RNA", at positions 35 to 154 of the family's 154-position model. The record is from RNAcentral.